Molecule: long non-coding RNA, 1186 nt
Organism: Pyrus x bretschneideri (Chinese white pear)
Lineage: Eukaryota; Viridiplantae; Streptophyta; Magnoliopsida; Rosales; Rosaceae
Exons: 3
Source: RefSeq, a predicted model, not a curated record
CUGUCUCUCAGAGUUCUCCCAUUUCUCAUCGUUGUGACCCAGGCUAACCGACGCAUCUCUUAAUCUUCUUCUCUCUCUAUCGCGACAUUACUGGGAUCUUCUAAGCCAAAUGCUCAAACCGUCUCUCAUCUAUUCCUUGUCUAUCACACUCCACAAUCAAAAACCCUAGAGACGAAUUCAACCAACAAGCCAAAUCCACACCCUGUCGCAUCUAAACCUUCUUCCAGUUUCUUGCGCCACCACCGAAAACCCAAGAACCAUAGAAACCCUUUCCACCAACUACAUAAAUCUAUGCCAAAUUUCUCCACGCCUACGAGACUACAAUGUGGCCAAAUGGUUAACAAAUUCAAUUUUUAUCAUUCUUUUUAACUUAGGGUUUUGGAUUUACAGGUAAUUGCGUCCAAAUUGAGCACGCCAGCAGCCCUCGACCUCUUCAUCCAUUUUUCAAGGACUCUAAUUGGGUUUACAUUCACAAAUUUACAAACAAAAAAACUGAAGGAAGGAACAUUAAUCAAUAACUUUAGCAAAGAAACUUGUUGGUCAUGGUUUUUGACAAGGGUAGUUCUCUUGCUUGUGUUUUUAAACCAAGAUGUUGUCGGUAUAGGUUUUAUACUCUGCAAAUUUUGGGGUUGUUCUGCUUUCAGUAUUUUCAUCGUAAUCUCACUUAAUCAACAUACUUGGUAACUUAAGUGAUAGCCACAACUUCUAGAACUCACCUUUUGAAGGAUAUUGAAAUUAAAGUACAUAUAAAACUCAAUUGUGUAAUUUUGAUAGGCUCAUCUCUUACGUUUCGUUCUUCUUACUGUUAACUAUUCCUUCAAUUCUUAUUUUCUUCUCUUUUGUUAUUCAAAUUCUCAAUGCACCUGCUAUUCUCUAGACACCAAUGUUUUUAUUUUCUUCUCUUUUAUUAUGUAAGGAUAAGAUGAAGAAAAAGAAGGAUGGAGUUAAAGGAGAAAGUAUUCAAGAAGCACUUGAGGUAGUGAUGGUGAUCUUUCAAAUGACAAUGAUACUUGUGCUGAACUAAAGACCAUGACAUGGCUGAUGACUUAUAUUAUGUAUUUUGUCGUUGUUUUCAAAUAUGCACAUGGUAUACCUGUUUUGUUACCGACUCAAUGCCUUAGAAUCUUGUUAGCAUCGCAAUAUGUUUAGAGGUGUUAGGAUGCUUAUGUUAGCUUUUGAGAUAAAC